UGAAUGAUGAAGGCCUUAGGGUUGUAAAGCUCUUUCGCACGUGACGAUGAUGACGGUAACGUGAGAAGAAGCCCCGGCUAACUUCGUGCCAGCAGCCGCGGUAAUAAUAACGAAGGGGGCUAGCGUUGUUCGGAAUUACUGGGCGUAAAGGGCGCGUAGGCGGUUUAUCAAGUCAGGCGUGAAAGCCCCGGGCUUAACCUGGGAACUGCGCUUGAGACUGUGAGACUAGAG
Molecule: ribosomal RNA, 231 nt
Filed under: uncultured bacterium
Lineage: Bacteria
Description: partial 16S ribosomal RNA
Rfam family: Bacterial small subunit ribosomal RNA
Source: RNAcentral